GACGAACGCUGGCGGCGUGCUUAACACAUGCAAGUCGAACGGAAAGGCCCUGCUUGCAGGGUACUCGAGUGGCGAACGGGUGAGUAACACGUGGGUGAUCUGCCCUGCACUUCGGGAUAAGCCUGGGAAACUGGGUCUAAUACCGGAUAGGAGCCAUUCUUAGUGUGAUGGUUGGAAAGUUUUUUCGGUGUAGGAUGAGCUCGCGGCCUAUCAGCUUGUUGGUGGGGUAAUGGCCUACCAAGGCGGCGACGGGUAGCCGGCCUGAGAGGGUGGACGGCCACAUUGGGACUGAGAUACGGCCCAGACUCCUACGGGAGGCAGCAGUGGGGAAUAUUGCACAAUGGGCGCAAGCCUGAUGCAGCGACGCCGCGUGGGGGAUGACGGCCUUCGGGUUGUAAACUCCUUUCGCUAGGGACGAAGCUUUUUGUGACGGUACCUAGAGAAGAAGCACCGGCUAACUACGUG
Molecule: ribosomal RNA, 465 nt
Filed under: uncultured bacterium
Lineage: Bacteria
Description: partial 16S ribosomal RNA
Rfam family: Bacterial small subunit ribosomal RNA
Source: RNAcentral